This 1153-nucleotide long non-coding RNA is filed under the name Apteryx rowi (Okarito brown kiwi). Its description in RNAcentral is "lncRNA (ENSARWG00000009954.1)". Lineage: Eukaryota; Metazoa; Chordata; Aves; Apterygiformes; Apterygidae. The record is from RNAcentral.
UUAUCCUUUUCAGCCUAGUGAACUGGUGUGCAUGGCAAGUGGUGUCGUGAGAUGGAGGGUAGAGUGGUGGAACAAAGGCCUGUUCAUUGCAGGGAGGCAGAAAGGAAACUUCCUUGUGGAUGUGUUUGAAUGGGAGACAGCAACGAACCACCGUGGGGGAGGAAGGAUGUGCCGGGUGCCCAGGCGUGCCGCGGGCCAGCGAUGCGCCCCGCGCUGCUUGCGUCCCCUGCCUCAGCUCAGGAAUUCGUGUCAAAUCACGUAGCAGCUGGUUGGAAGAGGUAGCCCAGCGUUAUUCUCAAAAURUGCCGUCGUUCCUUCACAUUCAGAUGAGCUAUUCUCUUUAGGUUAACUGCUGCUUGAGUUCUACAGUGUCUUUCAGGGAAUGUAAAGUAAAUAGAGCACCUUUUAUACCAGGGGAUCAACGUACUAACUUAUGGCCAAAUUUGAAGCCUUUACCCAAGGCAAAAUACAAUUAAAGUCAGGGARAACUUGACCUGAGUGAGGACUUUGGUAUUUGAUCUGUGAAUUUUACUUUUCUUCAUUUUUAUUAUUUUCAUAUGGUAGUACAGCUAUUUCUCCUGGUGGUAAUUGUACAUUGUACUGGAUAUUGAAUUCCUUGCAGURAAGGAGUAACCUCUUGAAACAUAAUCUUACAUGGUGUGCGAUCUAAAGAGCUUAAUUCUUAUUGGAAUAACAAGUUUAAAAAUAUAUAUUUUUAAAGCACAUCCAUGACAUUUUUGUUAACCUAGUUCUAAUGGUGAUCUAGCAGUAACAGUAAAGUAUGAAAAGCUAAGAACAGGCCAAGAUCUCAUCUGACCUAACUCAUUGAUUCACUCUCUGACCUUGGGUAAGCCUUUUGACCUGCCUGUGCCUCAGUCAACUCAGCUGGAAAAUUGGGUAAAGAGCAGAGCCUGUUAGAAAACCAUCUUCAAUUUGAACAAAGAUUUCCUGGAGACCCAAAAAAGUGAGUGUAGUCAUUUUGUCCAGACAUAAUUGAUUGUGGCCCACACAAAAAUAACAUCCUGAGCUGUGGGAUACAAUUGAUGACAUCUCAUUCAUUGUGUGGUGACUGGGUGGUCUCUGCUUCCACUGUAGCUCGUCCACAUUUCAUGUGUUCAAAGCUGUAUUUUCGCUUUCAUGGCAUUAGCCUAGC